RNAcentral lists this ribosomal RNA (296 nucleotides) under uncultured bacterium. RNAcentral describes it as "partial 16S ribosomal RNA". It matches the Rfam family "Bacterial small subunit ribosomal RNA", at positions 1036 to 1338 of the family's 1533-position model. The record is from RNAcentral.
AGGUGCUGCAUGGCUGUCGUCAGCUCGUGUCGUGAGAUGUUGGGUUAAGUCCCGCAACGAGCGCAACCCUUGUCAUUAGUUGCUACGAAAGNGCACUCUAAUGAGACUGCCGGUGACAAACCGGAGGAAGGUGGGGAUGACGUCAAGUCCUCAUGGCCCUUAUGGGUAGGGCUUCACACGUCAUACAAUGGUACAUACAGAGGGCCGCCAACCCGCGAGGGGGAGCUAAUCCCAGAAAGUGUAUCGNAGUCCGGAUUGUAGUCUGCAACUCGACUGCAUGAAGUCGGAAUCGCUAG